GCCCGGCUGGCUUAGGGGGUAGAAUGUGUGAUUCUUGAUCUCAGAGUUGUGGGGUCGAGCCCCACGCUGGGCA
This 73-nucleotide transfer RNA is filed under the name Canis lupus familiaris (dog). It matches the Rfam family "tRNA". Rfam says of the family: Transfer RNA (tRNA) molecules are approximately 80 nucleotides in length. Their secondary structure includes four short double-helical elements and three loops (D, anti-codon, and T loops). Further hydrogen bonds mediate the characteristic L-shaped molecular structure. tRNAs have two regions of fundamental functional importance: the anti-codon, which is responsible for specific mRNA codon recognition, and the 3' end, to which the tRNAs corresponding amino acid is attached (by aminoacyl-tRNA synthetases). tRNAs cope with the degeneracy of the genetic code in two manners: having more than one tRNA (with a specific anti-codon) for a particular amino acid; and 'wobble' base-pairing, i.e. permitting non-standard base-pairing at the 3rd anti-codon position. The record is from Rfam by way of RNAcentral. Lineage: Eukaryota; Metazoa; Chordata; Mammalia; Carnivora; Canidae. RNAcentral also lists the same sequence under 1 other name.